Molecule: ribosomal RNA, 433 nt
Filed under: uncultured bacterium
Lineage: Bacteria
Description: partial 16S ribosomal RNA
Rfam family: Bacterial small subunit ribosomal RNA
Source: RNAcentral
AACGAACGCUGGCGGCAUGCCUAACACAUGCAAGUCGAACGAGACCUUCGGGUCUAGUGGCGCACGGGUGCGUAACGCGUGGGAACCUGCCCUUAGGUUCGGAAUAACUCCCCGAAAGGGGUGCUAAUACCGGUUAAUGUCUUCGGACCAAAGAUUUAUCGCCUUUGGAUGGGCCCGCGUUGGAUUAGCUAGUUGGUAGGGUAAAAGCCUACCAAGGCGACGAUCCAUAGCUGGUCUGAGAGGAUGAUCAGCCACACUGGGACUGAGACACGGCACAGACUCCGACGGGAGGCAGCAGUGGGGAAUAUUGGAAAAUGGGCGAAAGACUGAUCCAGCAAUGCCGGGUGAGUGAUGAAGGCCUUAGGGUUGUAAAGCUCUUUUACCCGGGAUGAUAAUGACAGUACCGGGAGAAUAAGCUCCGGCUAACGCCGUG